CAGCCAGACUCCUACGGGAGGCAGCAGUGGGGAAUAUUGCACAAUGGGGGAAACCCUGAUGCAGCGACGCCGCGUGAGCGAUGAAGUAUUUCGGUAUGUAAAGCUCUAUCAGCAGGGAAGAAAAUGACGGUACCUGACUAAGAAGCCCCGGCUAACUACGUGCCAGCAGCCGCGGUAAUACGUAGGGGGCAAGCGUUAUCCGGAUUUACUGGGUGUAAAGGGAGCGUAGACGGUCCUGCAAGCCAGAUGUGAAAGCCCGGGGCUCAACCCCGGGACUGCAUUUGGAACUGUAAGGCUAGAGUGCGGGAGGGGCAGGCGGAAUUCCUGGUGUAGCGGUGAAAUGCGUAGAUAUCAGGAGGAACACCGGCGGCGAAGGCGGCCUGCUGGACCGCGACUGACGUUGAGGCUCGAAAGCGUGGGGAGCGAACAGGAUUAGAUACCCCCGUA
Molecule: ribosomal RNA, 447 nt
Filed under: uncultured bacterium
Lineage: Bacteria
Description: partial 16S ribosomal RNA
Rfam family: Bacterial small subunit ribosomal RNA
Source: RNAcentral